This 253-nucleotide ribosomal RNA is filed under the name uncultured bacterium. RNAcentral describes it as "partial 16S ribosomal RNA". It matches the Rfam family "Bacterial small subunit ribosomal RNA", at positions 524 to 776 of the family's 1533-position model. The record is from RNAcentral.
UACGAGGGGGGCGAGCGUUGUUCGGAAUUAUUGGGCGUAAAGGGUGCGUAGGCGGUUUGGUAAGUCUGAUGUGAAAUCUAUGGGCUCAACUCAUAGUCUGCAUCGGAAACUGCCGGGCUUGAGUGUGGGAGAGGUGAGUGGAAUUCCGAGUGUAGAGGUGAAAUUCGUAGAUAUUCGGAAGAACACCAGUGGCGAAGGCGGCUCACUGGCCCGUUACCGACGCUCAGGCGCGACAGCGUGGGGAGCAAACAGG